Molecule: ribosomal RNA, 253 nt
Filed under: uncultured bacterium
Lineage: Bacteria
Description: partial 16S ribosomal RNA
Rfam family: Bacterial small subunit ribosomal RNA
Source: RNAcentral
UACGGAGGGUGCAAGCGUUGUCCGGAAUUAUUGGGCGUAAAGGGAGCGCAGGCGGUUUGAAUAGUCUGAUGUGAAAGCCCACGGCUUAACCGUGGAAGGUCAUUGGAAACUGUCCAACUUGAAUGCAGAAGAGGUAAGUGGAAUUCCAUGUGUAGCGGUGAAAUGCGUAGAUAUAUGGAGGAACACCAGUGGCGAAGGCGACUUACUGGUCUGUGAUUGACGCUGAGGCUCGAAAGCGUGGGUAGCGAACAGG